UGUGUGUGUUUGUGCACUGCCAUCCCACUAUGCUGAAAGAAGACUGGGCCUUUGGUGUGGAUGGUUGUUUGCCCAUGUUUUUCGUUGUGGCAUGUGUGGAUGAUGACUGAUACCCAACAGGUAACGGAUGACAGACACAGGACUGACGUGAAGACCUGAGGAUAUGCGUGACGAGAUGGACCCGGCUGAGUCAAGCUGCACACACGGAUACAAUUGAUAAGCUCUUGAGGAAGGCCUGGAAUAACCUUGGAGGUGGCAGAGAUGACUGGAGAGCUCAGAGUGUCGGGUAAAACAAACAUCAUCUCCAGCCUCUAUGCAUCGAAAGAUAAGGGAGGAAAAGGCCAUCUUGCUCUCAGCUGUGGAAAAGUGUAACAACAAGAAGAAUGAUUGACAGCAUCCUGAAACAUGGGUGGUGUGCUACGUAUCCAUGUUUUCUGGAAACACUGUACAUGUGGUAGAAGAUGGCUGUCGUCGUGGGUGCUGAACAAAAAUAAAAUCCACUAUGCUUUGUUUUUAGUUUGCCGCUUCAUGGUUAACUUUUUUACUCUUUAAAAAAAUAAAGUAACACAGACACCCCA
Engraulis encrasicolus (European anchovy) is the source of this 578-nucleotide long non-coding RNA. RefSeq lists it as uncharacterized. NCBI's taxonomy places the organism in Eukaryota, Metazoa, Chordata, Actinopteri, Clupeiformes, Engraulidae. The record is from RefSeq and is a predicted model, not a curated record. The transcript is spliced from 5 exons.